UCACCACCAGCAGACAUAUCCCUCAGGGUGACUGCUAUGCUGUCCUAGGGCACUUUUGCAGCACAACCCUGUUCCUCUGAUGUGUAUUUCGUCUGUCUCAGCUCUGUGCCAGAGGGAUCAGGCCUAUGGAAGCUGUGGAAAAUACUGCACCAGCACAACAGAUUUUCUCUGACUUCUCCAAAGUACAUGAAAUCUUCACAUCUGACAGCACCUCUAAGAAUGAACAUUUAAAAGUGUAAAAGUUACUUUUCCUCUUUUCUCUAGAAAGUUGUGCUCUGGUACUUUAAAAAUAGAGAGAACCAAAACACAUGCCUUGAUUUCAUUUGAACUUGCCAACAACUGUCAGUGAAAACAUUAAGAUCUACUGUGGGAAGUUGCUUUGAUACACAGGAGCACAUUUUCAACAGCAAACAUUACAUGCCCAAGCUGGGUUAUCUAUCCAGUGUCCCUUGGUUCCCGGUGCAUCUGGAAGAGGAUGUACAAGGAUGAUGGAGCAAGGAAAUACAGGAUUGUUAACAGAUCUGAACCAGGUAAUUCAUUCGUUAAAAGGCAAGGGACCUAAACACACCAGACUGUUAUCCUGCACUGACUGCAUGGAUCAGGCUACAAAUACGUGUUGAAGAAAUGAGARACUAUGAAAAUCCUGACAACACUA
This is a long non-coding RNA of Nothoprocta perdicaria, 655 nucleotides long. RefSeq lists it as uncharacterized. The record is from RefSeq and is a predicted model, not a curated record. The transcript is spliced from 3 exons. Lineage: Eukaryota; Metazoa; Chordata; Aves; Tinamiformes; Tinamidae.